Cavia aperea (Brazilian guinea pig) is the source of this 203-nucleotide small nucleolar RNA. Its record names the gene SNORA73. It matches the Rfam family "Small nucleolar RNA SNORA73 family". Rfam says of the family: U17 (SNORA73A and SNORA73B) also known as E1 belongs to the H/ACA class of small nucleolar RNAs (snoRNAs). The record is from Ensembl. Lineage: Eukaryota; Metazoa; Chordata; Mammalia; Rodentia; Caviidae.
CUGACGUGGAUACCCGGGAGGUCACUCUCCCCGGGCUCUGUCCAGGUGGCAUAGGAGAGCAUAGGGCUCUGUCCCAUGAUGUACAGUCCCUUUCCACAACUUUGGAGAAGAAGCUGGGCCUUGUGCCUGCACCUGCAUAUUCCUAUAACUUCUCAGAGUUCUUUGGACAGUGACUGAGGAGAUAAACCAGGCAGGCAACAAUG